This 192-nucleotide non-coding RNA is filed under the name Pteridomonas danica. Lineage: Eukaryota; Dictyochophyceae; Pedinellales. The record is from RNAcentral.
CAUGCAUUAACAACGAUGCUACAGCAGUGAAGUGGUUGAAGGCUCGAUUCAAUGAGAAUAAGCGCAUUGAUACUCGCAUCGCUGAAGAAGCAGACCAAAGUCAAAGUGAUAGUGGUUCAAGGGGCAGUAACAGAAACUAUGGAAUUGACCACAGAUGACACACAUAUAAUGCGUGCUCAUAAUAGAUCAAUA